GGGGGCGACCUGGUUUUGACGGGAUACACUUAGGGCAAGGUUGCGCGUCGCGGGUUUCCCUGGCCGCGUUAUCAAGGGAUAAGCCUUUAAAUGGCGUUAAUAACAACAGUAGCUACGGCUACGCAAUGGCUGCCUAAUAAACGCAGCUUGCUCGCCUGAAACCUCGCUUGUGGUUCGCUGGUUUGAGCAUCAUUAAAACAAGCUAGCUGAAAGUCUCGAGCGUUGGACUGAUGCGAAACCCAAAGACGUUUAAGCCUCAGAUUUAAGCGAGUCAACUAGCUUGCCUGAGGCCGACAAUAGAUAGCUGACUACACGCGUAGACGCCUGUCUGAUGGUAUUUCGGACGCGGGUUCGACUCCCGCCGCCUCCACCA
Molecule: transfer-messenger RNA, 373 nt
Filed under: Trueperaceae
Lineage: Bacteria; Thermotogati; Deinococcota; Deinococci; Trueperales
Also listed under: 1 other name
Description: JAHEBB01 sp020431825 Standard tmRNA
Rfam family: transfer-messenger RNA
About the family: Bacterial tmRNA, also known as 10Sa RNA or SsrA, is named for its dual tRNA and mRNA-like properties. Its role is to liberate the mRNA from a stalled ribosome.
Source: RNAcentral